Molecule: transfer RNA, 74 nt
Filed under: Niastella vici
Lineage: Bacteria; Pseudomonadati; Bacteroidota; Chitinophagia; Chitinophagales; Chitinophagaceae
Rfam family: tRNA
About the family: Transfer RNA (tRNA) molecules are approximately 80 nucleotides in length. Their secondary structure includes four short double-helical elements and three loops (D, anti-codon, and T loops). Further hydrogen bonds mediate the characteristic L-shaped molecular structure. tRNAs have two regions of fundamental functional importance: the anti-codon, which is responsible for specific mRNA codon recognition, and the 3' end, to which the tRNAs corresponding amino acid is attached (by aminoacyl-tRNA synthetases). tRNAs cope with the degeneracy of the genetic code in two manners: having more than one tRNA (with a specific anti-codon) for a particular amino acid; and 'wobble' base-pairing, i.e. permitting non-standard base-pairing at the 3rd anti-codon position.
Source: Rfam by way of RNAcentral
UGGCCCGUAGCUUAGUUGGAUAAAGCAUCCGGCUUCUACCCGGGCGAUUAUGAGUUCGAGUCUCAUCGGGCCAA